GCGCCAUUAGCUCAGUUGGUAGAGCAGCUGACUCUUAAUCAGCGGGUCCUAGGUUCGAGCCCUAGAUGGCGUA
This 73-nucleotide transfer RNA is filed under the name Candidatus Hydrogenedentota bacterium. RNAcentral describes it as "Candidatus Hydrogenedentes bacterium tRNA-Lys". It matches the Rfam family "tRNA". Rfam says of the family: Transfer RNA (tRNA) molecules are approximately 80 nucleotides in length. RNAcentral also lists the same sequence under 1 other name. The record is from RNAcentral. Lineage: Bacteria; Pseudomonadati; Candidatus Hydrogenedentota.